Molecule: small nucleolar RNA, 107 nt
Filed under: Gossypium barbadense (sea-island cotton)
Lineage: Eukaryota; Viridiplantae; Streptophyta; Magnoliopsida; Malvales; Malvaceae
Also listed under: 2 other names
Description: Plant small nucleolar RNA R71
Rfam family: Plant small nucleolar RNA R71
About the family: R71 is a member of the C/D box family of snoRNAs containing the C (UGAUGA) and D (CUGA) box motifs. Multiple nearly identical copies of this snoRNA have been identified in Arabidopsis, and it is thought to function as a 2'-O-ribose methylation guide for 18S ribosomal RNA.
Source: Rfam by way of RNAcentral
AUCCUAUGAUAAGGACACUUAUGAAGCAAUUCUUUAAACCUUUCCCACACCUCAUAUAAAGACUCGUAUCCAAUUGUUAGAAAGUAGUUAUCUCAUUAAGUAACUUU